UUGCCAUAGUGGAGGAUUCUCAGAGCGAUUUCCUAGGACUGAGGUACCAUCACUGUCUUCCCACAGUAUACAGUCCUUUAUGAAGUGCUCCAGUGUGGUUCCUCUCCAUGGGGUACAGUCCUUCAGAAAAAGACUGCUCCAGUGUGGACCACUCUGGGGCCGCAGAUCCUUCCUGAAAGCCUGCUUUUCCCUGGGCUCUUUAAUCGCACCAGGUUCUUUUAGGGCAUAUCCUACUUAUGCAGCACAAGGUCCUCCAUGGACUGCCGCAGGACAAUGUGUUUUACCAUUUUCUUCACAGGCUGCAGGGGAAUCUGUGCUCUGCCACCUGGAGCAUCUCCUCAGCCUCCUUGUUCACUGACGUUGGUGUCUGCAGGAUUUUUAUCUCACAGUUUUUCUUACUUUUUUCCCUCACAGAUGCUAUGCAGUACUUUUUACCUGUUGUAAAUAUGCUUUCACAAAGGCACCACCAGCUUGCUGAUUGGCUUAACUUUCGCCAGCAGUGGAGCUAUUUGGAGCUGGCUGGAAUCACCCAUGUCUGACACAGGGGCAGCCGUGGUCUCCUUGCACAGAGACAACUUGUGCAGCCUGCCCGCCUUCACAACCCUUGCCACGUAAACCCAACAGAGCCACAAGGUCACAUUGCUGGCACAUGUUUAAUUUGGUGUUCACUAUGAGCCUUAGAGCCCUUCCAGCUGAACAGCCUCCAGAAUGUCUGGUACUUUAAACCGUCGCUCACAGGUACCAGUUCCUUUCCCUCCUGUUGUGGGUGAGCCCCGACAGGCAGCUAAGCACCAUACAGGCGCUCGCUCAAUGCCCCCUCAGCGGGAUGGGGGAGAGAAUUGGAAGGGUAAAAGAGAGAAAACUCGUAGGUUUAGAUUAAGACAGUUUAAUAGGUGAAGGAAAAGGUGCACGCACAAGGCGAAUAAACUAACCAAUUCAUUCCCUACUUCCCAUUCGCAGGCAGGUGUUCGGCCAUUUCCAGGAAAGCCGGCCUUCCUCGCGCCUGUGGGCGAAGACAAAAGCCGUAACUCCAAACGUCCAGGGCCGGGAGCCUCCGCCUGCCGGGGCGCCGCGCUCCUCCUGUGCUCGCGGCCCUCCUCGCGUCCCCCUUUUCUUUUGCCGCGAAGCGGCCGCGGCAUCGGGGGGCCGGUCCGGGGCGGGUCUGUUGGAGGCGGGCAGAAGCGCCGGCGCUGCCCCAGCGAGGGGUCGGGGCGGUGGGGCGGGCCCGAACGCGGCUCCGCUCGGCUCCUCUCCGGCUCCCGCAUGAUGGUGCCCGGACUGGGGCCGUGGCUGCUGGCCUUGGCCUUGGCCUUGGCGUUGGGGCCGGCAGGCAGAAAACAACAACGAGUUUUAUUUAAGAAGAAACACAACAAGCACUGAAGGACUAAAGUUUGAGCCUUGCAUCCCCCUGCUUCUUUCCCCAGCAUCAAGUCUCCAGCUUCAAUGUGUUCCUCUACUCUCUGCAACUCCCUUCCCAUACCUGUCCUGGAUUGCUUCCCAAAGGGCCCUUGUUGGAGUGCUCAUGAAAAGAGAGGGGAGGGGAAGGGUUCACACAGUCCUUUGAGUUAGCAAUUUUCCUUAAAAUGGUGGUAACAGUCAGGUCUGUGACACAGGAUUCAGUACUUGUCCCGUCGGAUGGGUGCAAAGGUCCUAGGGGAUGCUCUGGGUUCCUGCUGAGUGAACACAGAGAAGGGAGUGUCCCUACUCUGCUGAGCAGCCCCAACAGCCUGGUCUGUGCUAAGUCCUAUGCACAUGAGUUUUGGGGAGGCUUCAGCCUACAUAUCUGCCCCAGACCUUCAGCACCAAGGACAACCCAGGUCUUGUAGGCUCUGUAAGGCCUUUGCUGCUUGGGGUGUCCGGGAAGCUCUUGCCAAGGAAGAAGCAGGUGGCGAAGUGUCAGCAUGAGGCAGUGAGUGUGUGUAGAACUAGGGUGCUGGGCCAGAGUGGAGGGCACUGAAUGGGCAGCAUGUUUGCUUAGGGGUGCCCUGUGCAAGCAGACCUGAGCUCAGAGGGUCCCAUCCAUGAGCAGCCGCUCACCAGCACCAAGGGAUGUGGGGCCACUGGGAUGAAAGUGUGCCAUCCUCCAAGGCCAGCUCUGAAGUCCCAGCAGUACGCUGCAGUCCUUCCUUUGAGGGAGAUCCAGCUGGCCCUACGUUACCUGUUGGCCACCAGUUUUCCUGCCAGUUGAGUGCUCUGUUAUUCUGUUUCUGAAAGAUAGAUUCUUCUGGAAAGAAGCAGGGUAGAGAUUUCAGCAAGGGCUUAAGGAAUUCAAGCACCCAUGCAUGCACAAACCACCUCCUAGUUCCCUUCCAAAACGUACCUUCGUAUGCCUAGAACACUUUUCUGGAGGAAAGGGAGACUUCCUCUCAUUUCAUUUCCUCUGAAGCAGAACUGAAGGACACAUGUUCAGCAGCAUCUCGUGGAACACUGAUAGCCUAAAUGUUCUAACUCAUCACUGGCAGAGCACCUUCUGCAAUUUUUUUUGGGGGAGUGGACCAGGACAGAGAAAGAAAAACUACAGGCAGAACUUGACUUUUAAACCAAACAAAUCAAACUGUGUGGUUUGUGUGAAGCUGUGAAGGCAGGUGUGUUUCUGUGGCCACUCGAAUGGAAAAAGGCUGUUUAACUGCAUCUGAGAUCUCAGUGACAAGGAGGAUGCAGUCUCACUGCAAAGGGUGUGGGAGAAGUACCCAGGUCUGUUACAGGAGGUAUUUAGAGCUUGUUCUCUUUCUCCUGCCAACAAUUCGAGAGACUGAAGGUAUCACAUCAGCCAACUCUACAACUUUCCUGGAAGAGCGAGUCAAUAGAAGGAGAAAACAAUUUGAUACAGUAAAGGGAAUGGCAGAUGAACAUGCCUGUGUUAAUAAUUGGAAAUAUAGCAGCACUGUUAAAAACUGUGAUUAAAAAUGAGAAAUAUACCUUUGUAUUUCGUAACAACAAUAACGCAAAUAAAAAUACUGAGUAAUACAGCAUGGAAGCA
Strigops habroptila (Kakapo) is the source of this 2980-nucleotide long non-coding RNA. RefSeq lists it as uncharacterized. NCBI's taxonomy places the organism in Eukaryota, Metazoa, Chordata, Aves, Psittaciformes, Psittacidae. The record is from RefSeq and is a predicted model, not a curated record. The transcript is spliced from 2 exons.